CACACACCCAUAAUCACCCAAACACAUAGACACAAUCACAGAGCGACUCAAGCGGCCAGCAAACAAAAUUUUCUGUUUCUGUUCCUGGCCAAAAACAGAAAAGUUGUUUUCCUUCUUUUUUUUUGGUUAACAAUAAGUGGCAGAAAUAACAUUUCCUGCAGAGAAGUCCCAUAAAUGAUCUAUGCAAAAAACGGAGAGGAAACGAAUUCAAUUAAAGUGUGGAAAAUGAUGGGUCGAGCCAGAGACUAAUUGAAAAAUCAAGGCACACACCUGCGCACAUGUCUGUGAGAAGAGUGCUGCUGUGUGUCGUUGUGGGUGGGCUUGUGCCUUUUUUUUUGCAUGUGUAUGUGUGUUGAAGGCUAAAGCUGAAGCAGCAGCAGCAGCAGCAGGAGCAGGAGCGGCCAGGCCGAAAGAAGAGCCAACAAGUAAAGGCCCGAAAAAAGUCAGGCUGCCAGGCUAAUGACAACAUUGAAAAAUUGUCAGUUCAGUGAGAGCACGUGUAUGGAAAGUGGGCGGGAAAGCCAGGGAAAAGUGAAAGUAAAAACCAAAGGAAACACUCGAAUGUUUGGAGUACACUCAAUGUUUUGGGGCAUAAAUUGUUGCCUUCCUUGUGCCGUAUACAGUAUCUUAUCUUAAGUACUCUUUAGACAGUAUAAUUUAUCAAUAAUUUAGCUUGAAUUAGUAUAUACUUUUUGAUCGAUGGAUGGAUGUACAUAUGACCCCAAAGCCAGCUUAGUGGUCGGCAAAACUUCUUUUAGAUACUUAACACCUGACCACCUGACCGCCGGAUUCACAUCUAUCUAGAUAUUUUAUAGUUCUUAACUGUUGUUGCAGCCAAAUGAAAGACGGGUAAACCACAGUGAUAAAGACAAAGUGUUCAAGACAAAAAAAUGUUAUAAAUAAUCAUAGAUAUACAUACAUACUACAACAAACAACAACAAGAAAAAAACCAAAACAAAAACCAAAAAAUCAGUAAAUAAAUCAAACAAAUGGGAAUACUGAAAAUCGCUGAAUGGAAAAAUCAGAGCAAUUUUUGGGCCUUAACCACAGAAAAGAUGUCCAGUCAAAGAUGCGCACAAUUAGCUUAAACUGACACAAGGAUGACGAGGGACAAGGACGAUGCCUAAAACCACAGCCAGAAUUUACAGAAUUAAGCAAAUGGAUAAUCAGAUGAAUAACCAAACAGCGAACGGAUAAAACGGAUAAAACG
Molecule: small RNA, 1210 nt
Filed under: Drosophila pseudoobscura pseudoobscura
Lineage: Eukaryota; Metazoa; Arthropoda; Insecta; Diptera; Drosophilidae
Description: GA32504
Source: RNAcentral